Molecule: transfer RNA, 72 nt
Filed under: Myotis davidii
Lineage: Eukaryota; Metazoa; Chordata; Mammalia; Chiroptera; Vespertilionidae
Rfam family: tRNA
About the family: Transfer RNA (tRNA) molecules are approximately 80 nucleotides in length. Their secondary structure includes four short double-helical elements and three loops (D, anti-codon, and T loops).
Source: Rfam by way of RNAcentral
GCCGUUUUGGUUCAGUGGAUAGAACGUCAGCCUGAGGUCUGAAGGGUUCGGGUUCGAUUCCAGGCAAGGGCA